UAGGCAUCAAAAUGCCAAACCAUGUAUAUGCUUGAGUGUUAUUCUUUGCUCUUCCAUUCUAGUUUUUCAUGUUUUUAACAUGGUAUCAGAGCCAGGUUCCGAUCCUGUGACCUGUGGGUUGAGAGCUCUGGUAGUCAUUGAGAGGGAGUCUUUCUUGCUGUUUGCCGCAAAAUCACCCAGGAAGCACAAUCAGAUUUCAUCGUUACGAAGUGCUAUGGGAGGAGGUAUUUAAAACAGGGACUGCAAAAUACAGUCCCAUUGCUCUUUUGCAGCGACGCUGAUUUCUCUAGCGACUUAAACUGUCAGACGAGAGGAAAGCCGAGAAGCGCUCGCAGAGGGGAAUCGAAAGAGGGCCCGGAAGAGGCAAUGCGAUCCCAGUGAUCCUCUUCUUGCUGUUUCGCGUGCGGGAAAAGCUUCGUCCUCUCCCCACGUAGAGCGUGUCCUGUUGCUGGCGUCGCACCGCUAUCCUAUGCUCCUUGCUCAUUUCUUCCGGCGAUCAUCCAAUCAGGGACUCGACAAAAGGGCACCAAAAAAGGAGAACAUCACUCUCCUUUGCCCUCUGUUUUUUGGGCACCGAAGAGGAGCACAUCGCCCUCUUGUGUUUUUUGCAGCAUUCACCUUCCGUGCAAGAAUCAUCUCUUGUUGGAGCGCUCGCUGUCUGUUGGAUUGCAUUCAUUCAGUGGAAGCGUUCCUUCUUGCUGGGCAGGGCCUUUUUAACAUAUUACGGAUGGUCGGUAUUCAAACUGCUACUGCUCAAGGGGACGAGAAUUCUAAAGGAUCCAAAUCCUCGGAUCAAUAUGGAAACACUUUAAAGAUCACAUCCACCCUCCUCAACGGAACAAACUAUUUAAGUUGGGCGAAGGCUGCACGUUUAUUUCUCAGUAGAAGAUCUAAAGCGGGAUACAUCAACGGAAAAAUUAAGCAGCAUGCACCUAAUGAUCCCAGGUAUGAGGAAUGAGAAUCUGAGAAUGAUAUGGUCAUGUCUUCGUUAAUAAAUUCAAUGGAUCCGUCUAUAGCAAAUAUGUUCAUGUAUCAAGAUACGGCUCAAAGCAUUUGGGAGUCGCUAAAAGAACUUUACAACGAGCAAAAUAAUCUUGCUCGAAUAUAUCAAAUUCAAUGUGAGAUUGCUAAUCUCAUGGUGGGAAACAAAGAUGUUCAACUUUAUAUUGGACGUAUUCGCGGUCUCUUUGAUGAACUUCUUCAAUAUCGACUAGCCACAUCGGAUCCCGAUAUCUUCACACAACGGUUUGAAGAAGAUAAAAUUUUCAAAGUGCUGGCUGGUCUCAGUGACGACUAUGAAAACUUGCGCAGUCAAAUUUUGAAUUCUUCUCCUCUUCCAACAUUCAACACCGUCUGCCAAAUCAUUCAAAUAGAGGUAUCUAAGAGAAAAGUUAUGAACUCAUCCACCAAAGAUGAAGUUGCAGGAGAAAACUCUGAAAAAAUGGAGUUAUGAACUCAUCCACCAAAGAUGAAGUUGCAGGAGAAAACUCUGAAAAAAUGGUGUAUAUUUCUCACACUCAAGAAGGACAAAGACGUGGACCAAACAAUAUGAGAUCACGUAGCAAGAUGAAGUGCACCCUUUGCAGAAAGAUUGGGCACACCCGAGAACGAUUCUGGGAGAUCACAGGGAGGCCUGAGAAGGAAAAACCAACCUCGACCUCAAAGGAGACAAAUUUGGCAUGCACGUCUUCAAAGGCGAUCAAUGUGGCAAAUUUUGUUACAAAGGACGAUCUGGAAAAUUUUUUUCGAAAAUUCUCCAAGGCCAACCUCGUCUCCUCUCAACCAGUCGGAGAAAGUUCUGAAGGACGUGACAUUUCAGGAACUGAACUCGAAGAAAGUGAUUGGUAAAGGACAUCUCCAAAGAGAACUGUAUGUUCUAGAUGAUGACUGUGUUGGUCUUCUCACCAGAAGCCGACGAAACUCUGAGUACCAGAUAUGACACGCUAGAUUGGGGCACAUUUUAGACCGGAGUAUCAAAAAACUUAUUCCUCAACUUACUACAGAAGAUUAGGCAGUGAGUUUUCCAAGUUUACAAGACUUCCGUUUCAAUCGUCUGUAGAAAAAUCUGUUGAAGUUUUCGAUCUCGUACACUCUAAUGUAUGAGGACCCGCUCCUAAAAUCUCUCAUACCGAAUAUAGAUAUUAUGUCUCUUUUAUCGAUGAUAUG
This is a long non-coding RNA of Nymphaea colorata (pocket water lily), 2166 nucleotides long. RefSeq lists it as uncharacterized. Lineage: Eukaryota; Viridiplantae; Streptophyta; Magnoliopsida; Nymphaeales; Nymphaeaceae. The transcript has 3 exons. The record is from RefSeq and is a predicted model, not a curated record.